UACGUAGGGGGCAAGCGUUGUCCGGAUUUAUUGGGCGUAAAGAGCGUGUAGGCGGCCAAGCAGGUCCGCUGUGAAAACUCGAGGCUCAACCUCGAGACGUCGGUGGAAACCGUUUGGCUAGAGUCCGGAAGAGGAGAGUGGAAUUCCCGGUGUAGCGGUGAAAUGCGCAGAUAUCAGGAGGAACACCGGUGGCGAAGGCGGGUCUCUGGGCAGUAACUGACGCUGAGGAGCGAAAGCGUGGGGAGCGAACAGG
This 253-nucleotide ribosomal RNA is filed under the name uncultured bacterium. RNAcentral's name for it is "partial 16S ribosomal RNA". It matches the Rfam family "Bacterial small subunit ribosomal RNA", at positions 524 to 776 of the family's 1533-position model. The record is from RNAcentral.